GCUGGGCAUGGUGGCACAUGCCUGUAGUCCCAGCUACUCAGGAGGCUGAGGUGGGAGAAUCGCUUGAGCCUGGGAGGUCGAGACUGCAGUGAGCCAAGAUCAUGCCACUGCAUUCCAGCCUGGGUGACAGAGUGAGACCCAAUCUCUA
RNAcentral lists this non-coding RNA (148 nucleotides) under Nomascus leucogenys (northern white-cheeked gibbon). Lineage: Eukaryota; Metazoa; Chordata; Mammalia; Primates; Hylobatidae. The record is from Rfam by way of RNAcentral.